Molecule: long non-coding RNA, 1948 nt
Filed under: Capsicum annuum
Lineage: Eukaryota; Viridiplantae; Streptophyta; Magnoliopsida; Solanales; Solanaceae
Description: long non-coding RNA (CANN_LNC022558)
Source: RNAcentral
UUUACUAGCUCCGAAGUAAUGAAAUAUUACCAUUUAUAGGUACAUAUAAUUACAAAACUUAAAAAUGAAUUGAAAUGAAUCUUUGAUAAUAUGUAUAUUUUUAUUUAUACGAUUAAGGUCAGUUGCAGAAUUUAAUAGAAUGGAAGAAACUUGUUAAGUUUAAACUAUACUUUUUAUGUGUCUCAAGAAAGUAUUUAUUUUCCAUUCAAUUGAGUUUUAUUCUUAUAGUAAACUGUUGUGCUCACCUUGAUGUUGAGUAUGGGUCUCAAAUUCAACAAUCGAUAGUCCAUGUGUUUCCUAAUCUAUGUAUCAAACACAUAAUUUAAACAAUCUAAAAAUACUAAAUUUUAUAACUUGACUUGCUUCUUGAUGCCUAAGUUGAAAGCAAGUGACUCACAGUGGUCAAGCUUUUGAACUGUGGAUAUGAAGGCAUUGAUGUGAUGAUCGAGAUAAAGAUAAAAACUGUAAAAUCUCAAACACAUGAUUUAUACAUUAACAAUCUGAUACUUAUUUGUUUAUAUUAAGUUUCUGAUAACUCUAGUCAUACGAGAGUCGCGAGGAACUUAAUAUAAGUAGUCAAGCUAAUGCAUAAAUUGUGUUUGAGAAGCCAUUGUUUUUAGGUUUAUGUCAAUUGUCACAUCAACGCCUUCAUAUAUACAAUCCUUCGAAGUUUCAUCAUUUUGAGUCAUUUCCUUUCAACCACUUAAGCACGUGAAGCAAAUUUAUAAGAUUUAGUAUGUUUGAUUGGUUAAUUGGUGUGUUCGAUAUGCUGUUUGAAUAAAAAGGACUCCAAUUAUUGACUUUGAAAUCCAUCUUCAACAACGUGAAAACUUUAAUUUGAUUAUGAAAAUAAAACUCAAUUAAAAAAAAAGUAAAUCUUUUUUCAAGACAAAAUAAAGUAUAGUCUAGACUUAAAAGGUUCUCUUUUGUUUAUUUGAGAUCUAGCAAUUAGUCUUAACCAUACAAAUAAAAAGAUAAACAUUAUUCGAUAUACGGUCUAGUUCAUUUUAAAUUUUGCGAAUAUAUAAGAUUAGGAUUAGGUGCAGAAAUUUUAAUAGAAUAGAAGAAACUUGUUAAGUCUAAACUAUACUUUUUAUCUGUCUCAAGAAAGUAUUCAUUUUCCAUUCAAUUGAGUUUCAUUCUUAUAGUAGACUGUUGUGCCACCUUGAUGUUGAGGAUGAGUCUCAAAUACAACAAUUGAUAGUCCAUGCGUUUCCUAAUCUGUGUAUCAAACACAUAAUUUAAACAAUCUAAACACACUAAAUUUUAUAACUUGACUUGCUUCUUCAUGCUUAAGUUGUUGAAAGUACGUGACUCACAGUGAUCAAGCUUUUGAACUGUGGAUAUGAAAGCAUUAAUGUGUGAUUUGAACUGUGGAUAUGAAAGCAUUAAUGUGUGAUUGAGAUAAACGUGAAAACAGUAAAAUCUCAAACACACGAUCUGUACAUUAUCAAUCAGAUACUUAUUUAUUUAUAUUAAGUUUCUGACAGCUCUAGUCAUACAAGAGUUGUGAGGAACUUAAUAUAAGAAGUCAAGCUAAUGCAUAAAUUGUGUGUUUGAGAAGCCAUUGUUUUCAGUUUUAUGCCAAUUAUCACAUCAAUACCUUCAUAUAUACGAUCCUCCGAAGCUUCACCAUUUUGAGUCAUUUCCUUUCAACAACUUAAGCACCUAAAGCAAAGUUAUAGAUUUAGUAUGUUUGAUUGGUUAAUUUAUAUGUUCAAUAUGCAGAUUGGAUAAAAAGGGCUCCAAUUAUUGACUUUGAAAUCCAUCUUCAACAACAACAUGAAAACUUUAAUUGACUAUGAAAAUAAAACUUAAUUAAAGAAAAAGUAAAUUUUUUUUCAAGACGAAUAAAGUAUAGUCUAGACUUAUAAGGUUUCCGUCGUUUUAUUCGAGAUCUAGCAAUUAGUCUUAACCAUACAAAUAAAAAGAUAAACAUAAUUCGAGA